GCUGACGAGUGGCGGACGGGUGAGUAAUGUCUGGGAAACUGCCUGAUGGAGGGGGAUAACUACUGGAAACGGUAGCUAAUACCGCAUAACGUCGCAAGACCAAAGAGGGGGACCUUCGGGCCUCUUGCCAUCGGAUGUGCCCAGAUGGGAUUAGCUAGUAGGUGGGGUAACGGCUCACCUAGGCGACGAUCCCUAGCUGGUCUGAGAGGAUGACCAGCCACACUGGAACUGAGACACGGUCCAGACUCCUACGGGAGGCAGCAGUGGGGAAUAUUGCACAAUGGGCGCAAGCCUGAUGCAGCCAUGCCGCGUGUAUGAAGAAGGCCUUCGGGUUGUAAAGUACUUUCAGCGGGGAGGAAGGGAGUAAAGUUAAUACCUU
RNAcentral lists this ribosomal RNA (379 nucleotides) under Shigella flexneri. Its description in RNAcentral is "bacterial SSU rRNA". It matches the Rfam family "Bacterial small subunit ribosomal RNA", at positions 87 to 469 of the family's 1533-position model. Lineage: Bacteria; Pseudomonadati; Pseudomonadota; Gammaproteobacteria; Enterobacterales; Enterobacteriaceae. The record is from RNAcentral.